UGNAGUCGAACGGCAGCACGGGGGCAACCCUGGUGGCGAGUGGCGAACGGGUGAGUAACAUAUCGGAACGUGCCCUGGAGUGGGGGAUAACUAGUCGAAAGAUUAGCUAAUACCGCAUACGAUCUACGGAUGAAAGUGGGGGAUCGCAAGACCUCAUGCUCGUGGAGCGGCCGAUAUCUGAUUAGCUAGUUGGUGGGGUAAAGGCCUACCAAGGCAUCGAUCAGUAGCUGGUCUGAGAGGACGACCAGCCACACUGGGACUGAGACACGGCCCAGACUCCUACGGGAGGCAGCAGUGGGGAAUUUUGGACAAUGGGCGCAAGCCUGAUCCAGCAAUGCCGCGUGAGUGAAGAAGGCCUUCGGGUUGUAAAGCUCUUUUGUCAGGGAAGAAACGGUGGAGGUUAAUACCUUCUGCUAAUGACGGUACCUGAAGAAUAAGCACCGGCUAACUACGUGCCAGCAGCCGCGGUAAUACGUAGGGUGCAAGCGUUAAUCGGAAUUACUGGGCGUAAAGCGUGCGCAGGCGGUUGUGCAAGACAGAUGUGAAAUCCCCGGGCUCAACCUGGGAAUUGCAUUUGUGACUGUACGGCUAGAGUGUGUCAGAGGGGGGUAGAAUUCCACGUGUAGCAGUGAAAUGCGUAGAGAUGUGGAGGAAUACCGAUGGCGAAGGCAGCCCCCUGGGAUAACACUGACGCUCAUGCACGAAAGCGUGGGGAGCAAACAGGAUUAGAUACCCUGNUAGUCCACGCCCUAAACGAUGUCUACUAGUUGUCGGGUCUUUAUUGACUUGGUAACGCAGCUAACGCGUGAAGUAGACCGCCUGGGGAGUACGGUCGCAAGAUUAAAACUCAAAGGAAUUGANGGGGACCCGCACNAGCGGUGGAUGAUGUGGNUUAAUUCGAUGCAACGCGAAAAACCUUACCUACCCUUGACA
RNAcentral lists this ribosomal RNA (933 nucleotides) under uncultured bacterium. RNAcentral describes it as "bacterial SSU rRNA". It matches the Rfam family "Bacterial small subunit ribosomal RNA", at positions 56 to 986 of the family's 1533-position model. The record is from RNAcentral.